AAUCCUUAUCCCGCUAUUAACCCUAGAGUUCCCAAAUAAUUCUUUAAUGUUUGAAUAUCCAUACAAUUAGUGAUACUACCUAUAGUACCAAAUCUAGCCAUAAUUCCUUCUACUAUAUCUAUUUUUUUCCUAUUUGUUACGUUACUUCUUCCAAACCAAUAUUCUAAGCCUCGUUCCAUAUUUAAUAAAUGUUCCUUAUUGUGGAAAUUUAGUUGAGAUUUUCCACUGAGAAACAUUUAAAUUACAAACUAUUGUUGCAAAUUUCUCAUGUACUAACAGAGGCUUUGAUUGAAAAUGAUUCAAUUGAAAGGGACUUGAUAACUUAAAAACCCUAUUUUUACAUUUUACCAUUCUGGGAGAGAAUACAUUUACCUUAACAUCACCACAUCUCUCG
This is a non-coding RNA of Pelobates cultripes (western spadefoot toad), 394 nucleotides long. Lineage: Eukaryota; Metazoa; Chordata; Amphibia; Anura; Pelobatidae. The record is from the annotation of a GenBank genome assembly.